GAGUUUGAUUCUGGCUCAGAGUGAACGCUGGCGGCGUGCCUAAUACAUGCAAGUCGAACGGAGAUUAAAGUAAGCUUGCUUAUUUUAAUCUUAGUGGCGCACGGGUGAGUAAUGUAUAGCUAAUCUGCCCUACACUAGAGGACAACAGUUGGAAACGACUGCUAAUACUCUAUACUCCUUCUUUACAUAAGUUAAGUCGGGAAAGUUUUUCGGUGUAGGAUGAGGCUAUAUCGUAUCAGCUAGUUGGUGAGGUAAUGGCUCACCAAGGCUAUGACGCGUAACUGGUCUGAGAGGAUGAUCAGUCACACUGGAACUGAGACACGGUCCAGACUCCUACGGGAGGCAGCAGUAGGGAAUAUUGCUCAAUGGGGGAAACCCUGAAGCAGCAACGCCGCGUGGAGGAUGACACUUUUCGGAGCGUAAACUCCUUUUCUUGGGAAAGAAUU
This 446-nucleotide ribosomal RNA is filed under the name Campylobacter sp. canine oral taxon 011. RNAcentral's name for it is "bacterial SSU rRNA". It matches the Rfam family "Bacterial small subunit ribosomal RNA", at positions 9 to 451 of the family's 1533-position model. Lineage: Bacteria; Pseudomonadati; Campylobacterota; Epsilonproteobacteria; Campylobacterales; Campylobacteraceae. The record is from RNAcentral.